AGAGUUUGAUCAUGGCUCAGGGUUAACGCUGGCGGCGUGCGUAACACAUGCAAGUCGAACGGGCCAUUACUCUUUGGAGUGAUGGUUAGUGGCGAACGGGUGAGUAAAAGGUAGGGACCUACCCCGAGGACAGAGAUAGCUACUGGAAACGGUAGGUAAACUCUGAUAAGCCCGAGAGGGGAAAGUGGAAGGCAGCCUUGGGAUGGACCUACUAUCCAUCAGGUAGUUGGUGAGGUAAAGGCUCACCAAGCCGAUGACGGAUAACCGGUGUGAGAGCAUGUACGGUCACAAGGGCACUGAGACACGGGCCCUACUCCUACGGGAGGCAGCAGUGGGGAAUAUUGGACAAUGGGCGAAAGCCUGAUCCAGCGACGCCGCGUGAAGGAAGAAGUCCUUCGGGAUGUAAACUUCUGAACUAAUCGAAUAAAAGGGUAGUGGACACACUACAGAAGAAGGUAGAUUAGGAAAAGUCCCGGCUAACUACGUGCCAGCAGCCGCGGUAAGACGUAGGGGGCGAGCGUUGCCCGGAAUCACUGGGUGUAAAGGGGACGUAGGCGGAUGAUCAAGUCAUCUGUGAAAAGAUUGCUCAACGAUUGGCUUGCGGAUGAAACUGGUCAUCUUGGGCGUAGCAGAGGUAGACGGAAUUACCUGAGUAGGGGUGAAAUCCGCAGAUACAGGUAAGAACGCCGGUGAAGAAGUUGGUCUACUAGGCUACAGCUGACGCUGAGGUCCGAAAGCCAGGGGAGCGAACCGGAUUAGAUACCCGGGUAGUCCUGGCUGUAAACGAUGCUCACUAGGUGUAGGGAGCGAAAGACUCUCUGUGCUGAAGCUAACGCGAUAAGUGAGCCGCCUGGGGAGUACGUCCGCAAGGAUGAAACUCAAAGGAAUUGACGGGGGUCCGCACAAGCGGUGGAGCAUGUGGUUUAAUUCGAAGCUAACCGAAGAACCUUACCAGGGAUUGACAUGUAACUGAAGGUAGAGAAAUCUACUGGCCUGCCGUGAGGUAGGAGGUUACACAGGUGGUGCACGGUCGUCGUCAGCUCGUGCCGUGAGGUGUUGGGUUAAGUCCCACAACGAGCGCAACCCCUACAAUUAGUUACCAGCAAGUAAAGUUGGGGACACUAAUUGGACAGCCGCCGACGAGGCGGAGGAAGGAGGGGAUGACGUCAGAUAAGCGUGCCCCUUAUACUCUGGGCGACACACGUGCUACAAUGGGGAGGACAAAGGGAAGCGAAGCCGAGAGGUGGAGCGGAUCCGAAAAAACUCUCCGUAAUAUGGAUUGUAGGCUGAAACUCGCCUACAUGAAGCUGGAAUCGCUAGUAAUCGCGGGUCAGCCAAACUGCGGUGAAUACGUUCCCGGGCCUUGUACACACCGCCCGUCACGCCACCCGAGUUGGGAACACCUGAAGGCAGUACGGAAGGUACUGUUGAAGGUGGGCUUGGCGAGGGGGGCGAAGUCGUAACAAGGUAGCCG
RNAcentral lists this ribosomal RNA (1474 nucleotides) under uncultured Petrotoga sp. Its description in RNAcentral is "bacterial SSU rRNA". It matches the Rfam family "Bacterial small subunit ribosomal RNA". Lineage: Bacteria; Thermotogati; Thermotogota; Thermotogae; Petrotogales; Petrotogaceae. The record is from RNAcentral.